This 497-nucleotide ribosomal RNA is filed under the name uncultured bacterium. RNAcentral describes it as "partial 16S ribosomal RNA". It matches the Rfam family "Bacterial small subunit ribosomal RNA", at positions 28 to 507 of the family's 1533-position model. The record is from RNAcentral.
GAUGAACGCUGGCGGCGUGCCUAAUACAUGCAAGUCGAGCGAACAGACGAGGAGCUUGCUCCUCUGACGUUAGCGGCGGACGGGUGAGUAACACGUGGAUAACCUACCUAUAAGACUGGGAUAACUUCGGGAAACCGGAGUUAAUACCGGAUAAUAUAUUGAACCGCAUGGUUCAAUAGUGAAAGACGGUUUUGCUGUCACUUAUAGAUGGAUCCGCGCCGCAUUAGCUAGUUGGUAAGGUAACGGCUUACCAAGGCAACGAUGCGUAGCCGACCGGGUAGGGUGAUCGGCCACCCUGGAACGGAGACACGGUCCAGACUCCUACGGGACGCAGCAGUAGGGAAUCUUCCGCAAUGGGCGAAAGCCUGACGGAGCAACGCCGCGUGAGUGAUGAAGGUCUUCGGAUCGUAAAACUCUGUUAUUAGGGAAGAACAAAUGUGUAAGUAACUAUGCACGUCUUGACGGUACCUAAUCAGAAAGCCACGGCUAACUACGUG